Molecule: small nucleolar RNA, 103 nt
Filed under: Caenorhabditis remanei
Lineage: Eukaryota; Metazoa; Nematoda; Chromadorea; Rhabditida; Rhabditidae
Description: Small nucleolar RNA sn2524
Rfam family: Small nucleolar RNA sn2524
Source: Rfam by way of RNAcentral
GAUCAAGUACACAUACGUAAAAGUAGAGUCGAUUCCUUCUUUUUGAUCUUUACUUAUUUUUGUCAAGAAUGCGUCUACAAAGUCGUCGCCUUCCUCAACUAUC